UACGUAGGGUGCGAGCGUUGUCCGGAAUUAUUGGGCGUAAAGGGUUCGUAGGCGGUAAUACAUGUCAGAUGUGAAAUCUUGUGGCUUAACCACAUCAAGCAUCUGAAACUGUAUAACUUGAGUGGAGGAGAGGUAAGUGGAAUUCCUAGUGUAGCGGUGAAAUGCGUAGAUAUUAGGAAGAAUACCAGUGGCGAAGGCGACUUUCUGGACUUAUACUGACGCUGAGGAACGAAAGCGUGGGGAGGCAAACAGGAUUAGAUACCCUGGUA
RNAcentral lists this ribosomal RNA (269 nucleotides) under uncultured prokaryote. RNAcentral describes it as "partial 16S ribosomal RNA". It matches the Rfam family "Bacterial small subunit ribosomal RNA", at positions 524 to 792 of the family's 1533-position model. The record is from RNAcentral.